Molecule: unclassified non-coding RNA, 345 nt
Filed under: soil metagenome
Description: partial contains 5.8S ribosomal RNA, internal transcribed spacer 2, and large subunit ribosomal RNA
Rfam family: 5.8S ribosomal RNA (bases 1-121)
Source: RNAcentral
GAUGAAGAACGUAGCGAAAUGCGAUAAGCAAUGCGAAUUGCAGAAUUUCCGUGAGUCAUCGAAUCUUUGAACGCACAUUGCGCCCACUGGUAUUCCGGUGGGCAUGCCUGUUCGAGCGUCAUUAUCCUCCCUCAAACCCCGGGUUUGGUGUUGGACCCAAGUUGUGUGAACAACUGGUCUCAAAGACAAUGACGGCGUCCGUGGGACCCUCGGUGCAACGAGCUUUUAGGAGCACGCAUCGAGUUGCAAGGACCUUCCGGGCCGGUCUCCUUUACCAUUUUACAAGGUUGACCUCGGAUCAGGUAGGAAUACCCGCUGAACUUAAGCAUAUCAAUAAGCGGAGGA